GCCCUUUCAGAGUUGCUGUCAUCCAAUAAUAAAUGCCCUAUUUAUGUGUGAAACAAAUUAGGUUCUAUUUUUCAAAAGUAACAUAGCACAACAGCUGCCAUUCAGCUUCAGGAAUGUUCAGGAAAUCCUUCUAAACUGAAAACCUUAAGAGGCUGUCUAGCUGAGUGUAACUGAAUUCCCUAUCAUAAUAAUACAUUCUCAAGUAUUAAAUGUGUACAGCAAGUCAAAUGCCCAUUCAAGAAAACUAUGUCCUUGACACACACUUUUAGAUUGAGCUCCCGAAGUUGAAGUGUUAAAUAUAGGGUGGUGAUAUGACCAUUAUUACACAGCUUCAAGACUUAUUUAGUGUUGGAAACUACCACCAGAGUCAAGUAUAACCUAUUUGUUUGCCAUUUAACAAAGGAAAUUGAGACUCAGAGAAUCAAAGUGAUUGCAGAAGCUUAGGCCUGCUUUUUCACCCCUACACCAUGAAGACAAAACUUUCUAUAAAUGACAUAGUUGUUUUUUGUUUUUGUUUGUUUUUGUUUUUGUUUUGAGGCUGAGUCUCACUCUGUUGCGCAGGCUGGAGUCCAGUGGCACGAUCUUGGCUCACUGCAACCUCUGCCUCCCUGGUUCAAGCGAUUCUCUUUCCCCAGCCUCCCGAGUAGCUGGCACCUGCCACCACCCCUGGCUAAUUUUUGUGCAUUUUUAGUAAAGAUGGGGUUUAAUCAUCUUGGCCAGUCUGAUCUUGAACUCCUGACCUCAAGUGAUCCACCUGCCUCAGCCUCCCAAAGUGCUGGGAUUACAGACGUGAGCCACCACCCCCAGCCUAUAAAUGACAUAGUUUUAUCAGUUAUUUAAUUUGGAUUCCUUAUGAAUAACUUCAAAAGAAAAGGUAUAGACACUGUGGACAUCACCUGGGAGCUUGUGAAAAAUACAGAAUGUCUAACCUCCCUCUAGACCUAGAGAAUCUGAGUGCAUUUUAAAGAGGUCCCCAGGUGAUCAUAUUUGCAUUAAAAUUUGACAAGUGCCUUUCUAGUGAGUCAUUCCCUUGGAAACAGUGGUCUGCUCAGGUCAGCAGGAUUGUGAUGCCUGGAGAACUGGGGAGGGGAUCCCCUUGUAGAACAGAAAGAAGAGAUACAGUCAUGGAAACAUUCCGAAUUUUGAAUAUUAUGAAACAACAGGAACAAAGUAUGUUGUGCAAGGAGUGACGCAUUUUAAGGAAUGGCAUUGCCUUUCCCAGAAAGUGAAGAGAGGAAAUUGGAAAUUAGUGAGUGGACCUUCUGAUACUGCUCCUCCUUGAGUGGAAAAGGGGAAAGAAUUGCAUGCAUAUUAUUCAGCGUCCUGUAUUCAAAGGAUAUUCUUGGUGAUCUUGGAAGUGUCCAUAUCAUGGAAUCAAUCUCUAUGAUGGGAAGCCCUAAGAGCCUUAGUGAAACUUUUUUACCUAAUGGCAUAAAUGGUAUCAAAGAUGCAAGGAAGGUCACUGUAGGUGUGAUUGGAAGUGGAGAUUUUGCCAAAUCCUUGACCAUUCGACUUAUCAGAUGUGGCUAUCAUGUGGUCAUAGGAAGUAGAAAUCCUAAGUUUGCUUCUGAAUUUUUUCCUCAUGUGGUAGAUGUCACUCAUCAUGAAGAUGCUCUCACAAAAACAAAUAUAAUAUUUGUUGCUAUACACAGAGAACAUUAUACCUCCCUGUGGGACCUGAGACAUCUGCUUGUGGGUAAAAUCCUGAUUGAUGUGAGCAAUAACAUGAGGAUAAACCAGUACCCAGAAUCCAAUGCUGAAUAUUUGGCUUCAUUAUUCCCAGAUUCUUUGAUUGUCAAAGGAUUUAAUGUUAUCUCAGCUUGGGCACUUCAGUUAGGACCUAAGGAUGCCAGCCGGCAGGUUUAUAUAUGCAGCAACAAUAUUCAAGCCCGACAACAGGUUAUCGAACUUGCCCGCCAGUUG
RNAcentral lists this small RNA (1923 nucleotides) under Pongo abelii (Sumatran orangutan). RNAcentral's name for it is "retained intron". The record is from RNAcentral. Lineage: Eukaryota; Metazoa; Chordata; Mammalia; Primates; Hominidae.